AGAGUUGAUCAUGGCUCAGGAUGAACGCUAGCGGCAGGCUUAACACAUGCAAGUCGAGGGGCAGCGGGAUGUAGCAAUACAUUGCCGGCGACCGGCGGAUGGGUGCGUAACGCGUAUGCAACCUACCUUAUACAGGGGAAUAACCUUUCGAAAGGGAGACUAACACCCCAUGGUAUUGAUUUAAGGCAUCUUAGGUUAAUUAAAUAUUUAUAGGUAUAAGAUGGGCAUGCGUAUGAUUAGCUAGUUGGUAAGGUAACGGCUUACCAAGGCGACGAUCAUUAGGGGUUCUGAGAGGAAGGCCCCCCACACUGGUACUGAGACACGGACCAGACUCCUACGGGAGGCAGCAGUGAGGAAUAUUGGUCAAUGGGCGCAAGCCUGAACCAGCCAUGCCGCGUGCAAGGAAGACGGCCUUAUGGGUUGUAAACUGCUUUUACAUAAGACUAACCGUAUAUUUGCGAAUAUACCUGAAUGUAUUAUGAGAAUAAGGAUCGGCUAACUCCGUGCCAGCAGCGGC
Molecule: ribosomal RNA, 517 nt
Filed under: uncultured bacterium
Lineage: Bacteria
Description: bacterial SSU rRNA
Rfam family: Bacterial small subunit ribosomal RNA
Source: RNAcentral